RNAcentral lists this ribosomal RNA (276 nucleotides) under uncultured eukaryote. RNAcentral's name for it is "partial 18S ribosomal RNA". It matches the Rfam family "Eukaryotic small subunit ribosomal RNA", at positions 1208 to 1456 of the family's 1831-position model. The record is from RNAcentral.
GGAAAUCUCUCCAGGCCCGGACACUGGAAGGAUUGACAGAUUGAUAGCUCUUUCUUGAUUCUGUGGGUGGUGGCUUAAUUUGACUCAACGCGGGAAAUCUCACCAGGCCAGGACACUGGAAGGAUUGACAGAUUCUUAGUUGGUUGAGUGAUUUGUCUUGUUAAUUCCGGUAACGAAAGAGACUCUGUCCUGCUAAAUAGUGUCUGCUUCUCUUUUAAGCAGACAAUUCUUCUUAGAGGGACUGGCGACUCUUAGUCUCACGAAAUUGAGCAAUAA